Molecule: non-coding RNA, 460 nt
Organism: Solanum lycopersicum (tomato)
Lineage: Eukaryota; Viridiplantae; Streptophyta; Magnoliopsida; Solanales; Solanaceae
Source: RefSeq, a predicted model, not a curated record
CAUUCCAGUGCGGAAGAUGCUCCUCUCCAAUAUAUUAUCUCUCCAGUUGGUCCAGCACAUACAUAUUUAAUCAAAUGUGUCAGUUUCAAAAUCUAAUGGUCCAUAUUUAUUGAAAUAAAAAGAAAACCUGUGAACCAUGAUUAAAUAACCAGCCUCUUAAACCAAAUAAUGGUCAAAGAUCGCUGGCUAAAAAGACAUCUUUUACCGCGAAAAUCUUGGAGAAACGCAGCAAUUAUCAACUAGUUCAGAAGACUAAAUCACCUAGAUGGUACAACAAUAAUCAAAUAUAACAAGAAAAUAGAAUAUUAGUUGAUGAGUAGAAGUUUUUCCGGCGAUUAAGUGACGAAACCAAAACAGGAAAUGCAACAUGUGACCUUAACAACACCACAAGAGAGUCAAGCUUCUGAACAAGCACAACAAUUCAUUGAUGAUGAAUGGGCCGACAAGGUAAAGAGGAAAA